GACGAACGCUGGCGGCGUGCCUAACACAUGCAAGUCGAACGGGGUAUUCUGUCGGAAGCCUUCGGGUGGAAGACGGGAUUACCUAGUGGCGGACGGGUGAGUAACGCGUGAGCAACCUGGCCUUUGGAGGGGGAUAACAACGGGAAACCGUUGCUAAUACCGCAUAAGCUGCCGAGGGGACAUCCCCAUGGCAGGAAAGGAUUUAUCCACCGAAGGAUGGGCUCGCGUCCCAUUAGAUAGAUGGCGGGGUAACGGCCCACCAUGUCUGCGAUGGGUAGCCGGACUGAGAGGUUGAACGGCCACACUGGGACUGAGACACGGCCCAGACUCCUACGGGAGGCAGCAGUGGGGAAUAUUGGGCAAUGGGGGAAACCCUGACCCAGCAACGCCGCGUGAAGGAAGAAGGUUUUCGGAUUGUAAACUUCUGUCCUUGGGGAAGAAGAAAGUGACGGUACCCAGGGAGGAAGCCCCGGCUAACUACGUGCCAGCCGCCGCCGUAACAC
RNAcentral lists this ribosomal RNA (503 nucleotides) under uncultured bacterium. RNAcentral describes it as "bacterial SSU rRNA". It matches the Rfam family "Bacterial small subunit ribosomal RNA", at positions 28 to 526 of the family's 1533-position model. The record is from RNAcentral.